GACAGAGGCCUCGAGCGUUAGGCGGAAUCACUGGGCUUAAAGCGUGUGUAGGCGGGCCCGUAAGUGUCUUGUUAAAUCCCACGGCUCAACCGUGGAACUGCUGGGCAUACUGCGGGUCUUGGGCCAACUAGGGGCAGCCGGAACAAGCGGUGGAGCGGUGAAAUGCGUAGAUAUCGCUUGGAACGCCGAAGGUGAAAACAGGCUGCUGGGGUUGCGCCGACGCUGAGACACGAAAGCCAGGGGAGCAAACGGG
This 253-nucleotide ribosomal RNA is filed under the name uncultured bacterium. RNAcentral's name for it is "partial 16S ribosomal RNA". It matches the Rfam family "Bacterial small subunit ribosomal RNA", at positions 524 to 776 of the family's 1533-position model. The record is from RNAcentral.